AACAAACGCUGGCGGCGUGCCUAACACAUGCAAGUCGAACGAGAAAGUCAGUUUCGGCCGAUGAGUAAAGUGGCGCACGGGUGAGUAACGCGUGGAUAAUCUACCCUUUAGUCCGGAAUAACUUGCCGAAAGGUGAACUAAUACCGGAUGACAUCCCGGGUUCUCCGGAAACCGGGAUCAAAGAAGGCCUCUGCUUGCAAGCUUUUGCUGAAGGAUGAGUCCGCGUACCAUUAGCUAGUUGGUGGGGUAAUGGCCUACCAAGGUUAUGAUGGUUAGCUGGUCUGAGAGGAUGAUCAGCCACACUGGAACUGAAACACGGUCCAGACUCCUACGGGAGGCAGCAGUGGGGAAUAUUGGACAAUGGGGGCAACCCUGACGCAGCAACGCCGCGUGAGUGAGGAAGGUUUUCGGACCGUAAAGCUCUGUCGAGCGGGAAGAAAUGUAUCAUGGCUAAUAUCCAUGAUACUUGACGGUACCGCUAAAGGAAGCACCGGCUAACUCCGUG
Molecule: ribosomal RNA, 505 nt
Filed under: uncultured bacterium
Lineage: Bacteria
Description: bacterial SSU rRNA
Rfam family: Bacterial small subunit ribosomal RNA
Source: RNAcentral